CCUCCGGACAGAAGUAAAGAAUGGCUGUUGAACAUCCACAAGGCACCUGCAAGACCUCUAACUUCACCCUGGAGUUGAGCAGAAACAUGACUUGCCUUUUCCCUCAAAUCAGUCUUGGACUCCAGACAAAGGGUUGGAACUUUGAGCCAAUAAGCAGGUUACUGGUAACAGUGCCUGAGGAAAGACAAAGCUAUGGGUAUCCCCACAGGCGCUGCCUGAGACCCAGCUCUGUGUCUCCUCAUCGUACAGCUUGCGGAGCUCCACCUGCAAGGCCAUCAGCAUGCCCAGGCAGGGGUUAAGCUGGAGGGCCAUGGAGGAGGACAGGCCAGCAGGAUGCCACCUCUGCUCCAGGGCAUGCACCAUGUGUGAGAGAUUCUAAUUAUAUACACGUUCAUAAACAUAUACUCACA
RNAcentral lists this small RNA (410 nucleotides) under Pongo abelii (Sumatran orangutan). Its description in RNAcentral is "processed transcript". The record is from RNAcentral. Lineage: Eukaryota; Metazoa; Chordata; Mammalia; Primates; Hominidae.